Molecule: long non-coding RNA, 688 nt
Filed under: Vigna radiata
Lineage: Eukaryota; Viridiplantae; Streptophyta; Magnoliopsida; Fabales; Fabaceae
Description: long non-coding RNA (VRAD_LNC000833)
Source: RNAcentral
CCCAGUUGGUGUUGAGUCUUCCCUUAGUCGAUGAAACUGCAUGGUAUAAAUUGGAUUUGAUGUUAACAGUGUGUUCUCUUAGUUCGCUUUUAUGAAAACAUGAUUAGCCUUCGCUUAGUUGGUUAACUAUGUUGGAUUACAAUUUUUGAGUCGCUUCUUUAUUUUGUUGAUCUGUGAUAGGAAACAUUGUAAUUAAGUUAAUGACCAACCGUUUUCAGUAUGUCUUUGAAACCGUUUUUAGAUUUGUGUUUGCAUUUCUGUUUGCGUCAGUGUUUUGAUUUUAUUCAUACGUAUUCACCACAACAUUUUCACAAAACCCCCUCCCACUUCGUAUUUGACUUAAUUCUUGAACUGCAAAAGUGGUCCUUGAGAGACGACCUAUGAGUCAUUUCCUAGCUAUACUACAUUUCUAAUUGCACAUUAAAUUUGUGUGGGUUGUGAUAGCCCAUCAACGCUCAACGGUGCCGCUCAAUCGCGAGACAAUGGCUUCUUCCCCGAAGUUGGCGCUCAGCGUUGGACUUGGCACUGAGCGAUGGACUUCACUCUUCUUUUGCUUCUUUUCUCUUCCUUUCUUGAGUCUAAGUCCUCCCUUCUUCACUACCAUCCUUCAAUUCUCCUCAAAUCCUGCCAAAAUAAUGUAAAACAGGCAUAAUAUGUCUAAAACCAAAUUUUGACUCUCUAGAAACCC